CUCUUAUCUGAUUGGUCCGUUUCUUAUUCAUUCUCUCUCUGUCCUUCUUUCAAUAGAAGGAAACCUACGCAAAACUCUGAUCUUGAUUUCUUAUUUCAAUAUUUCAUUUUCCUCCCGCAUUAGUUACAAAGUUUAUGCUUAAGUGGGGGUUUCAAUUGUGUAAAAGUAUUCGGAUUUGGGCAAUUCAAAGAGAAAACGGUUUUAGUUUUGCGAAUUUGAUUUGAUUCGAUUCGAUUCAGGAUUGAUUUGAUUUGGUUUUGUAAAUCACAUGAAAAAUCUGUGGUAAAAAUAAA
RNAcentral lists this long non-coding RNA (293 nucleotides) under Aquilegia coerulea. Its description in RNAcentral is "long non-coding RNA (ACOE_LNC000513)". Lineage: Eukaryota; Viridiplantae; Streptophyta; Magnoliopsida; Ranunculales; Ranunculaceae. The record is from RNAcentral.